AAUAAGUGCAGUUUUACACUGUUCAUAUGCAACGUUUGACCAUUUAUUUUAUUUAAAAUUAUUUUAUGAUUAGUAUUUUUAUUAUUAUUAGAUGAUAAAACAUGAAUAAUAUUUUAUGUGUGACUAAUUCUUUUAAUUUUUUAUAAAUUUUUCAAAUAAGACGGAAAGUCAAACGUUACACACGAAUUUCCACGGAUACAUUUUUU
Molecule: non-coding RNA, 206 nt
Organism: Oryza barthii
Lineage: Eukaryota; Viridiplantae; Streptophyta; Magnoliopsida; Poales; Poaceae
Source: Rfam